CAGGGGUGAGGCGUCUAUGGGCAGGAGGCCACAUGUCGGCUCCGGUCUUCUUAGUGUCGAUUCCCUCUUACGGACAAAUGGGGCAAUGACCAGGCUUCACAAACUGCCGCUGGGAAUACAAGAAAAUGCAGUGUUUCCCAGGUAUCUCUCGUCUCUUCCUGCAUUUGUGGCGAUCACUACCAACGACGACGAUGACGAUGCAGUCAGUGAAG
This is a long non-coding RNA of Ornithodoros turicata, 212 nucleotides long. RefSeq lists it as uncharacterized. NCBI's taxonomy places the organism in Eukaryota, Metazoa, Arthropoda, Arachnida, Ixodida, Argasidae. The transcript is spliced from 3 exons. The record is from RefSeq and is a predicted model, not a curated record.